UGUUAAAUCAGAUUUUUUGUGCAUUAUUUUUAUGUCAUAGAUUCUUAGAAAGAUUGUUUAGAUCUGAUUUAAAGUAUGUAUAGGAGAUUAAAUUAUUUAAUCUAUUAUUUUUAUUAUAAAAUUUUAAAAAAUGUAUGCUUUGAACUGCCUAUUUUCUAACACAUGCUGUGUUUAAUGUUGAUUUGUCGAUGAAGACCAAGUUUCAAGUUGACUGGGUG
Molecule: long non-coding RNA, 218 nt
Filed under: Elaeis guineensis (African oil palm)
Lineage: Eukaryota; Viridiplantae; Streptophyta; Magnoliopsida; Arecales; Arecaceae
Description: long non-coding RNA (EGUI_LNC056784)
Source: RNAcentral